UACGGAGGAUCCAAGCGUUAUCCGGAAUCAUUGGGUUUAAAGGGUCCGUAGGCGGUUUUGUAAGUCAGUGGUGAAAUCCGGCAGCUCAACUGUCGAACUGCCAUUGAUACUGCAGGACUUGAAUUAUUGUGAAGUAACUAGAAUAUGUAGUGUAGCGGUGAAAUGCUUAGAUAUUACAUGGAAUACCAAUUGCGAAGGCAGGUUACUAACAAUACAUUGACGCUGAUGGACGAAAGCGUGGGGAGCGAACAGG
Molecule: ribosomal RNA, 253 nt
Filed under: uncultured bacterium
Lineage: Bacteria
Description: partial 16S ribosomal RNA
Rfam family: Bacterial small subunit ribosomal RNA
Source: RNAcentral